RNAcentral lists this ribosomal RNA (253 nucleotides) under uncultured bacterium. RNAcentral describes it as "partial 16S ribosomal RNA". It matches the Rfam family "Bacterial small subunit ribosomal RNA", at positions 524 to 776 of the family's 1533-position model. The record is from RNAcentral.
UACGGGGGAUCCAAGCGUUAUCCGGAAUCAUUGGGUUUAAAGGGUCCGUAGGCGGUUUAAUAAGUCAGUGGUGAAAUCUGGUCGCUCAACGAUCAAACGGCCAUUGAUACUGUUAGACUUGAAUUACUGGGAAGUAACUAGAAUAUGUAGUGUAGCGGUGAAAUGCUUAGAUAUUACAUGGAAUACCAAUUGCGAAGGCAGGUUACUACCAGUGGAUUGACGCUGAUGGACGAAAGCGUGGGGAGCGAACAGG